GAUGAACGCUAGCGGCAGGCUUAAUACAUGCACGUCGAACGCGAUCCAGGAGCUUGCUCCUGGUGAAAGUGGCGCACGGGUGCGUAACGCGUAUGCAACCUACCUUUAUCAGGGGGAUAGCCCGGGGAAACCCGGAUUAAUACCGCAUAACAUAUUGAAUGGCAUCAUUUGAUAUUGAAAGAUUUAUUGGACAGAGAUGG
RNAcentral lists this ribosomal RNA (200 nucleotides) under uncultured bacterium. Its description in RNAcentral is "partial 16S ribosomal RNA". It matches the Rfam family "Bacterial small subunit ribosomal RNA", at positions 28 to 228 of the family's 1533-position model. The record is from RNAcentral.